GGCUCAGAAUGAACGCUGGCCGGGUGCCUAACACAUGCAAGUCGGAUGUGCCGCAAGGUGCAUGGCAGACGGGUGAGUAACGCGUGGGAAACCUACCUCUUUGUGGGGAAUAACGCUCCGAAAGGAGUGGUAAUACCGCAUGAGACCACGAGCUGGGACGCUCGUGGUGAAACCUGGGGACCGUAAGGCCUGGGGCAAGGAGAGGGUCCUGCGUCUGAUUAGCUAGUUGGUGGGGUAACGGCCUACCAAGGCGACGAUCAGUAGCCGGCCUGAGAGGGUGAUCGGCCACACUGGAACUGAGACACGGUCCAGACUCCUACGGGAGGCAGCAGUGGGGAAUUUUGCGCAAUGGGCGAAAGCCUGACGCAGCAACGCCGCGUGGGUGAUGAAGGUCUUCGGAUCGUAAAACCCUGUCGUCAGGGACGAAGGUUGGGAGUUGAAUAGGCUCUUAACUUGACGGUACCUGGAGAGGAAGCCCCGGCUAACUCUGUGCCAGCAGCCGCGGUAAUACAGAGGGGGCAAGCGUUAUUCGGAAUUAUUGGGCGUAAAGGGCGCGUAGGCGGUUUUUUAAGUGAGAUGUGUAAUCCCCGAGCUUAACUUGGGAACUGCAUCUCAGACUGGAAGGCUAGAGUGCUGGAGAGGGUGGUAGAAUUCCACGUGUAGCGGUGAAAUGCGUAGAGAUGUGGAGGAAUACCAGUGGCGAAGGCGGCCACCUGGACAGUAACUGACGCUGAGGCGCGAAAGUGUGGGUAGCAAACAGGAUUAGAUACCCUGGUAGUCCACGCUGUAAACGAUGAACACUUGGUGUGGUGGGAGUUGACCCCUGCCGUGCCGUAGCUAACGCGAUAAGUGUUCCGCCUGGGGAGUACGGUCGCAAGGCUGAAACUC
Molecule: ribosomal RNA, 888 nt
Filed under: uncultured bacterium
Lineage: Bacteria
Description: bacterial SSU rRNA
Rfam family: Bacterial small subunit ribosomal RNA
Source: RNAcentral